Molecule: ribosomal RNA, 236 nt
Filed under: uncultured bacterium
Lineage: Bacteria
Description: partial 16S ribosomal RNA
Rfam family: Bacterial small subunit ribosomal RNA
Source: RNAcentral
CGGGACGGGUGAGUAACGCGUGGGUAACCUGCCUCACACUGAGGGACAACAGUUAGAAAUGACUGCUAAUACCGCAUAAGCGCACAGGAUCGCAUGGUCCGGUGUGAAAAACUCCGGUGGUGUGAGAUGGACCCGCGUUUGAUUAGCUAGUUGGUGGGGUAACGGCCUACCAAGGCGACGAUCAAUAGCCGACCUGAGAGGGUGACCGGCCACAUUGGGACUGAGACACGGCCCAA